Non-coding RNA from Mycena rosella, 109 nucleotides. Lineage: Eukaryota; Fungi; Basidiomycota; Agaricomycetes; Agaricales; Mycenaceae. The record is from the annotation of a GenBank genome assembly.
AACUCGGUGGUGAAGGCAUCACAUCUGCCGUUCACUGUAGUAACAAAUUUUAUGCUUCUAAGGCGCGGAUCUUAUGCGGAAGUCGCCCGUUCGACCCGGGCCCGAGUUC